GGGGAUGUAGCUCAGAUGGUAGAGUGUUCUCUUAGUAUGCGAGAGGUUGUGGGAUCGAUACCCCCACUUCUCCA
This is a non-coding RNA of Zostera marina, 74 nucleotides long. NCBI's taxonomy places the organism in Eukaryota, Viridiplantae, Streptophyta, Magnoliopsida, Alismatales, Zosteraceae. The record is from the annotation of a GenBank genome assembly.